AUUUAUAUAGUAUAAAAUAUUACAUUUAAUUUCCAUUUAAAAAAUUAAAAAUAUUAUUUAUAUAAAUA
This 68-nucleotide transfer RNA is filed under the name Euxiphydria potanini. RNAcentral describes it as "tRNA-Gly". Lineage: Eukaryota; Metazoa; Arthropoda; Insecta; Hymenoptera; Xiphydriidae. The record is from RNAcentral. RNAcentral also lists the same sequence under 1 other name.